GAUGAACGCUAGCGGCAGGCCUAACACAUGCCAGUCGAGGGAUAAGCCUUCGGGCUAAGACCGGCGCACGGGUGCGUAACGCGUAUACAAUCUGCCUUUUAUCCGGGGGAUAGCCCGAAGAAAUUUGGAUUAAUACCCUAUGGUAUAAGAGCACGGCAUCGUGCACUUAUUAAAGCUACGGCGGUAAAAGAUGAGUAUGCGUUCUAUUAGCUAGUUGGAGAGGUAACGGCUCCCCAAGGCGACGAUAGAUAGGGGUUCUGAGAGGGAUGUCCCCCACACUGGUACUGAGAUACGGACCAGACUCCUACGGGAGGCAGCAGUGAGGAAUAUUGGACAAUGGUCGGAAGACUGAUCCAGCCAUGCCGCGUGCAGGAUGACGGCCUUAUGGGUUGUAAACUGCUUUUGUAAGGGAAGAAUAAGGAGUACGUGUACUUUGAUGACGGUACCUUACGAAUAAGCAGCGGCUAACUCCGU
This 474-nucleotide ribosomal RNA is filed under the name uncultured bacterium. Its description in RNAcentral is "partial 16S ribosomal RNA". It matches the Rfam family "Bacterial small subunit ribosomal RNA", at positions 28 to 506 of the family's 1533-position model. The record is from RNAcentral.